GGGGGGGGGGGGGGGGGGGGUGAGCGCGUGCGGGGCGAGGGGGGGGGGCCUGGUGGGGUGGGGUGCUGGGGUGGGGAAGGGGUGAGUAGCAGGGGAGUACGCUGGCCUUGACUUGGGGAUAGCUUGGUGAAUGUGGGGCUACUACAGGAUCUGAGAUACUGCUGCGUGGUGGGGGUCGGACAGUUUCGGCGGUUGGGGAUGGACUCGCGGCUUAUCAGCUUGUUGGUGGGGUAGUGGCUUACCAAGGCUUUGACGGGUAGCCGGCCUGAGAGGGUGACCGGCCACAUUGGGACUGAGAGACGGCCCAGACUCCUACGGGAGGCAGCAGUGGGGAAUAUUGCACAAUGGGCGGAAGCCUGAUGCAGCAACGCCGCGUGCGGGAUGACGGCCUUCGGGUUGUAAACCGCUUUCGCCUGUGACGAAGCGUGAGUGACGGUAAUGGGUAAAGAAGCACCGGCUAACUACGUG
RNAcentral lists this ribosomal RNA (468 nucleotides) under uncultured bacterium. RNAcentral describes it as "partial 16S ribosomal RNA". The stretch from base 50 to 468 matches the Rfam family "Bacterial small subunit ribosomal RNA", at positions 36 to 507 of the family's 1533-position model. The record is from RNAcentral.